CGCGAAGGAUCAUUAUAGAUUCUCUUUGGCUGUGCGCCGCGAGGCCGCACGCCGAAAUCCAAUCACACACACCCGUGCACUUCGGUCGUGGUAAAACGCGGCCGCCUUCACAUUUAACAAGUAAAACCCGAAUGUAACAAACCAUAAAAUAAUACAACUUUUAACAACGGAUCUCUUGGCUCUCGCAUCGAUGAAGAACGCAGCGAAAUGCGAUACGUAAUGUGAAUUGCAGAAUUCAGUGAAUCAUCGAAUCUUUGAACGCACCUUGCGCCCCAUGGUAUUCCGUGGGGCAUGCCUGUUUGAGUGUCACGUAAACCCUCAUCCGUGCGAUCUUACCGUCGCACGAAUGGACUUGAGUGUUGCCGUAAUCGGCUCGCUCUGAAAUGCAUUAGCUUUGCGUCUAUUAGCCGCGCUCCGGCCGUGGUGUGAUAAUUAUCUUCACCCUAGCC
Molecule: ribosomal RNA, 449 nt
Filed under: uncultured fungus
Lineage: Eukaryota; Fungi
Description: eukaryotic LSU rRNA
Rfam family: 5.8S ribosomal RNA (bases 156-309)
Source: RNAcentral